RNAcentral lists this ribosomal RNA (468 nucleotides) under uncultured bacterium. RNAcentral's name for it is "partial 16S ribosomal RNA". It matches the Rfam family "Bacterial small subunit ribosomal RNA", at positions 28 to 507 of the family's 1533-position model. The record is from RNAcentral.
GACGAACGCUGGCGGCGUGCUUAACACAUGCAAGUCGAACGGAAAGGCCCUGCUUUUGUUUGGUGCUCGAGUGGCGAACGGGUGCGUAACACGUGAGUAACCUGCCCUUGACUUUGUGAUAACUUCAGGAAACUGGGGCUAAUACCGGAUAGUAGCUCCUGCUGCUUGGUAUGGGUUGGAAAGUUUCGGCGGUUGGGGAUGGACUCGCGGCUUAUCAGCUUGUUGGUGGGGUAGUGGCUUACCGAGGCUUUGACGGGUAGCCGGCCUGAGAGGGUGACCGGCCACAGUGGGACUGAGAAACGGCCCAGACUCCUACGGGAGGCAGCAGUGGGGAAUAUUGCACAAUGGGCGGAAGCCUGAUGCAGCAACGCCGCGUGCGGGAUGACGGCCUUCGGGUUGGAAACCGCUUUCGACUGGGACGAAGCGUGAGUGACGGUAAUGGGUAAAGAAGCACCGGCUAACUACGUG